This 70-nucleotide transfer RNA is filed under the name Hypoaspis linteyini. RNAcentral's name for it is "tRNA-Gln". Lineage: Eukaryota; Metazoa; Arthropoda; Arachnida; Mesostigmata; Laelapidae. The record is from RNAcentral.
UAAUUAUAGGUGUGAGAGGCAUACCAAAUUUUGAAUUUGGAGGGAGUAUAUCGUUUUAUAUUAUAAUUAA